UCCUCCAUCAUCUGCAAGACAGUCGGCUGAAGUUGUGAAGACUUGAAGAGAUCACUGUAAUCAUGCUGAAAGAAGUAUUGGUGCUGGGAUGCCUCCUGAGCCUCGUUCUGGCUCAGCCUUGGGACAUGGAGCACAAACGACUUGCUCGGUCUGACUCCGGUUCUAACUCUAACUCAAAUUCCAAUGAGGUUUCCACACCAGUAGUCAACCAGCUUUUUCAGCAACAGUUGCUCCAGCUCCUUCUGAACCUCCUCAGCCAACGAUUGACCACUCCUGCCACCACUCCUGCAACAACCACAACUGCAGCUACAACUACUGCAGCAACUAAUACACCUGCAAGAACAAGCUAAGCUAAAGAGCUUUAGUCUGCAUAUCAGCUCGGUUGGACAAUGUCUCAACCACAGAGUUUUCACGAAUUAUUCUUUAAUUGUGUUUAUUCUCUGUGUAAUCUGCUGAAUAAAACUCAUUCUUUGAAAUAAUCAACACGAUUAUUUUGCUUU
Long non-coding RNA from Pungitius pungitius (ninespine stickleback), 500 nucleotides. RefSeq lists it as uncharacterized. The record is from RefSeq and is a predicted model, not a curated record. The transcript is spliced from 4 exons. Lineage: Eukaryota; Metazoa; Chordata; Actinopteri; Perciformes; Gasterosteidae.